RNAcentral lists this long non-coding RNA (983 nucleotides) under Equus caballus (horse). RNAcentral's name for it is "lncRNA (ENSECAG00000054028.1)". Lineage: Eukaryota; Metazoa; Chordata; Mammalia; Perissodactyla; Equidae. The record is from RNAcentral.
GUGGGGCACGUGGCUCAGGGACUAACGCGGUGAUGGAUUUCAGAGCCCAGCAGUGAGGGCCCUUAUGCUCCUUGCAGUCAGCGAUCUGAGAAGCCCAUUCUCGUGUCCACGAUCACAGCAGACAAUCGUAGCGCUCUAAACCUGUAGCUGAACUCAAAGUGCUUUAGAAUCAAGUCUCAUCCACCAUUCCAACUAGUGAAAGGCAAAAAGCCUGCUAGAUUCUUGAACACUAUUCGUGCAAAGGGGAGGCUCGUCUCCACAAUAUUUUGGCCAUGGCUCGUUAUCUUUAAAAUCAUUAUUUUUAUCGAUUAAACCCAUUUCUAACAUCUGUUAUGCUAAUUAACAAAACUUCUGAUGUUGAAUGGAGAGAAAGAUAACGAAAAUGCUGUCUCUGGAGUGUGACCUCUGACUAAACACCCUCGACUCAACGCUGGCUGAAUGCCCUCAGACAGUGUCUUCCUGCUUACAGCAACUAGACAUCCCAGGGCAGAGGACAAGUACACUAAUGAAGACUCACAGAGCUCACUGAUCUAGACCGAAUCACGGUAUAGCAAACUGGAGAUGCCACAGUUAUGAACAGAAGCAAGCAGAGGAUGAAGCUGAUGGUGUCCAUGUUAGGAAAAGAGGCUGGACCUGUAUGUGCUUUACGUAUCCGAGGUACGCGUGGAGAGUAGCUGGAUUAGGUUUAGAGAAAAGUUGCAAGAUGGUACAGAUUCUCAUAUGCCUUUCACCCAGCUUCCCCUGAUGUCGUCUUACAUCACCGAGGUGCACUUGUCAACCCCAAGAAAUGAAGCCGGGCACGUUACUAUUAACUAGACUGCGGCGUGAUUCGGAUGUCCUCCGUUCUUCCCCCGUGUCCUUGUUUCCGAUCUAGGAUCCAGUCCACCUCACCACCUUGCGGCCACUCGUCGUGGCUCCUUAGUCUCCUCUGACCUGUGACGCUUCCUCUGUCUUUCAUAACCUUGACUGUGAUACGAAUCAGG